This 235-nucleotide ribosomal RNA is filed under the name uncultured bacterium. Its description in RNAcentral is "partial 16S ribosomal RNA". It matches the Rfam family "Bacterial small subunit ribosomal RNA", at positions 99 to 334 of the family's 1533-position model. The record is from RNAcentral.
CGGACGGGUGAGUAACGCGUGGGUAACCUGCCUCAUACAGGGGGAUAACAGUUAGAAAUGACUGCUAAUACCGCAUAAGCGCACGAAGGCGCAUGCCUUUGUGUGAAAAACUCCGGUGGUAUGAGAUGGACCCGCGUUAGAUUAGCCAGUUGGCAGGGUAACGGCCUACCAAAGCGACGAUCUAUAGCCGGCCUGAGAGGGCGACCGGCCACAUUGGGACUGAGACACGGCCCAA